AAUUAGGCAAAUUUCCCCCGUACGUUCGCAAUAAGGGGGGCCUCUGGUGGUGAGCUUAAUCGCAAAGCUGCUGGAGGCCGCAGAGAAAUGGCUCUUCCAACUGUUUAACAAAAACACAGGUCUCUGCUAAGUCGAAAGACGAAGUAUAGGGGCUGACGCCUGCCCAGUGCUGGAAGGUUAAGGGGAGAGGUUGGGCGCAAGCCGAAGCUUUGAGCCGAAGCCCCAGUGAACGGCGGCCGUAACUAUAACGGUCCUAAGGUAGCGAAACUCCUUGUCGGGUAAGAUCCGACCCGCACGAAUGGCGUAAUGAGAGGAGCACUGUCUCAACGAGGGACUCGGCGAACAUUGAAGGACGUGUGAAGAUACACGUGACCCGCAGCGGGACAAAAAGACCCCGUGAAGCUUUACUACAACUUGCCAUUGAGUUAGGGCUAAACCUGUGUAGUAUAGGUGGGAGGCUUUGAAGCUGGGACGCCAGUCUCGGUGGAGCCACCGUUGAAAUACCACCCUGGUUUAUUCUUGGCUCUAACCUGUCGCCGUUAUCCGGCAUGGGAACAGUGGCUGGUGGGUAGUUUGACUGGGGCGGUCGCCUCCGAAAGCGUAACAGAGGCGCCCAAAGGUUCCCUCAGGCUGAAUGGAAACCAGCCGUUGAGUGUAAAGGCACAAGGGAGCUUGACUGCAAGACCAACAAGUCGCGCAGGGACGAAAGUCGGGCUUAGUGAUCCCACGGUUCAGAGUGGAAUGGCCGUGGCUUACCGGAUAAAAGCUACUCCGGGGAUAACAGGGUAGUCUGGUCCAAGAGUUCAUAUCGACGACCAGGUUCGCCACCUCGAUGUCGGCUCAUCACAUCCUGGGGCUGGAUAAGGUCCCAAGGGUUGGGCUGUUCGCCCAUUAAAGUGGUACGUGAGCUGGGUUCAGACCGUCGUGAGACAGGUCGGUCUCUAUCCGCUGUGGGCGUAAGGGAUUUGAGAGAAGCUGCCCCUAGUACGAGAGGACCGGGGUGGACGGACCUCUACUGUGCCAGUUGUUCUGCCAAGAGCAUUGCUGGGUAGCUACGUCCGGCAGAGAUAACCGCUGAAAGCAUCUAAGUGGGAAACUCGUCUCAAGAUUAGAUCCCUCAUCCGUAUGGAGUAAGACCGCUAGAAGACGACUAGUUUGAUAGGCGGCAGGUGUAAGCGCAGUAAUGUGUUCAGCUUAGCCGUACUAAUGGUCGAGGGCUUACGUUG
This 1226-nucleotide ribosomal RNA is filed under the name metagenome. Its description in RNAcentral is "bacterial LSU rRNA". It matches the Rfam family "Bacterial large subunit ribosomal RNA", at positions 1711 to 2925 of the family's 2925-position model. The record is from RNAcentral.